This 479-nucleotide ribosomal RNA is filed under the name uncultured bacterium. RNAcentral's name for it is "bacterial SSU rRNA". It matches the Rfam family "Bacterial small subunit ribosomal RNA", at positions 30 to 504 of the family's 1533-position model. The record is from RNAcentral.
UGAACGCUGGCGGCAGGCCUAACACAUGCAAGUCGAGCGGAUGAAGGGAGCUUGCUCCCUGAUUCAGCGGCGGACGGGUGAGUAAUGCCUAGGAAUCUGCCUGGUAGUGGGGGACAACGUCUCGAAAGGGACGCUAAUACCGCAUACGUCCUACGGGGGAAAGCAGGGGACCUUCGGGCCUUGCGCUAUCAGAUGAGCCUAGGUCGGAUUAGCUUGUUGGUGAGGUAAUGGCUCACCAAGGCUGCGAUCCGUAACUGGUCUGAGAGGAUGAUCAGUCACACUGGAACUGAGACACGGUCCAGACUCCUACGGGAGGCAGCAGUGGGGAAUAUUGGACAAUGGGCGAAAGCCUGAUCCAGCCAUGCCGCGUGUGUGAAGAAGGUCUUCGGAUUGUAAAGCACUUUAAGUUGGGAGGAAGGGCAGUAAGCUAAUACCUUGCUGUUUUGACGUUACCAACAGAAUAAGCACCGGCUAACUUC